This 3064-nucleotide long non-coding RNA is filed under the name Xyrichtys novacula (pearly razorfish). Lineage: Eukaryota; Metazoa; Chordata; Actinopteri; Labriformes; Labridae. The record is from RNAcentral.
UGGGACGCCAUGUACAUACCGCUUACAUCACCAAGACUAAAUUGCUGCCUGCAAAAAAUACAUCUGGGUACUUCGCCAGUGCUAUUCUGGAGUACCUGAACAAACACAACUGCACGGUAUGUAAUGAAACACAUACAUUGCUUUGACAGUGUGGUUAUGGUGCAUUACAUUUAGAGAUUAUUCUCGCCUUCUCCAUAAUGCCUUGUGACAAAUGAAAUGCUGGUGUACGAGUUUAAUACUGUUAAACCUAGCCUGCGGUUUACUUUACGACUUUACACAAUUGUUGAUCAGAAUUUAACAAAGUGUGAAAGUUUGAGGAUUGUUUUUGCAAUAUUUUCCUUCUGGUUGUUUCAAUGGCAGAGUGUGUGAUUGAGAAAAUCAUUGGUGCUUUUAUACAGGCUGCAGGAACUUUCUCCGAGGUAUUGUAAGGACUUGCAGGAUAUCACUUCAUUGCAAAUGAAAGGAACAGUGUCCAAAAGGGCCUUUGGUAUCGUUUCCUCAAAACAGGUUUCUAUUCUUGGUGUGGCACUCUCUUAAAAUUAAAAAACGGAAGUGUAGUUCAUCAUGGAGACGUUCACAUUCGAGAGGAAUCAGAGAGGUGCUGGUGCUUCUAGCAGAUGUAACAAGAUAAAGUGGUUCUGAUAAGGGCAGCUCUGUUAAAUAUUUGAAGUAGUUUUUUUCUGUGUUUGAGUUAAAGGUUCAAAUUUUUAGCUCAAUUUUCUCCCAACAAUUGUUUUUAGAUUUUUUUCCACAAGUUUGAAAAGGUAAAACUUACUGAAAUUGGAUUUUCUUGGUUUUUAAACCAAAUAUCUGUCUGCGAUUCUACAACAGAGUUUGAUAAUCCGUCUAGUUUUGGAAAUGUCAGUGUUUAGAGAGUUAAAACAAAAUGAAGGUGAACUUGUUCAUUUAUUUGGACCCUGAACUUAGUUAAUAAAAUCAGUUCAUUUUGAUCUGAGUGAGCUGAACUUUGAGCCAGCUCGUUUCAAAAGCUACUGUGAGAAACUGUUUUUCUUUUUUUCAAUAUUAUUUUUACUCGUUUUCAACCUAAAAUUUGAAAGUAGCUUUUCUGAUACUGAAUCACAUCUUUCUGUCCUUCAACAUUCACACACAUCACUCACUAAAUCUUUAGAAGGACAAUUCGUGUGCAGCCUUCGGGUGACCUCUUUGGCUGACACCUACCCCACAAAGCAGUGAUUACAAGACUAGAUACAACAACUUCGAAAUAACUGAUCUCAAUGCUGUUGCUUUUGUGUCACACGAAGACACCAGUGGUAUUUACUCUAGUCUAUUUCAUAACUCCUCAAGAAGUUUUCAGUGUCAACUUGCACUCCUUAGAGAUGGUCCCAGAACUAAAGUUGAAUUCUUCUGGUGGAUGUGUCUCUAUUGAGGUCUGGGUAUUGUUGUCACACACUUCUAUCCAUGAAAAGACAGACAGGAGAAUUAUUGCAUUUUUCUACAAUUUCAGCAGUAGUUUGAGCAAUUUUGGCAUUUUUUUUUUCUCCAUCAUAUUUCAGAUCCUCACUUAUUUUUUGUAACAGAGCUGACAAAACUGACUGUGUGUGCGUAGUUGUGUGUUUAUCACUUCAAGAGUAAAUUACAUUUCAGACUGAAGCUUUCCAUGCAGAUGAAGUAAAACAACCUUUCCAUUUAGGUUUCUUUUAGUUUUAUUAAAAAAACAACAACAACAGUGAAAAAUCAAUCCCUCUGCUCUUUUUCUAACUUGGCUUGUCUGCGUAUCUGCACUGCAUAUCAAGUCUGCCAGCUUAGAGCAAACCUGCUGGGCAGAAGUACCAGUUUGAAUCAUGGUAUCAUCAUCCCUCAGUAUUAACAUGUUCCCUUGGCUGUGUUUGUAACAGGUGUGACAGUAACCGAUAAUUCAUGCUGACCCCUGCAUGGCACAGCCAGCUGAAUCAGGUCUCUCUCUCUCUCUCUCUUUGCUACCACAGUGUAGUGUCUGUUAUUACAGUCACCCUGCAAUCCAGCAACAUCAAUUAUGCCAAUAAGACGCCUCCUCUGCCAACAUUUCACAUACAUUAUGGAGUGUUGACACAUCACUUUUCACCCUAUUGUGGAUGAGGCGUGAGGUGAGCGUCUCACCACACACAGAGAAAAUAAGGAUGUAAAAUAAACCACAUGCAGAGCAAAAAGAGAGCUCAGGGAUCAGUUGCUGAUAAUGACACUUUGGUCUGCUUAUUUUCUUUCUUCUGUAUUGUGCUAACAUGUUUUUAGUACAAGGUCAUUUAAAGAAGAGAACCUGUUAGUGAAGCAGAGAGCUGCAAACAGUCUCAGGCCCCUGUCACCCAUGAGCUCCUCACAGUUUCCAAACAGUUUAUACACAAUCAGGUCCAGAAGUUUUUUGGAAACUGUUUCUCGUAUAUGUACCUCGAUUAAAGACAUUAUCUGUUCCCCACUAUUUGGCAAUACACGUCAAUUAAGAGUAUAAAGUGGAGCAACUCCGCUUAAUUUGAUGUGGUGAAUUUUCCAGACUAUUACCAGCAGUUCCAAGACAUUAGCUCACCCUGACUUAGGGUGAACUUUGUACAAGGAUGCUGGCAGGAAAGAGCCAGCCUGAAGUGGAGGUGAGCAGAUGGGUCCAUUUACAGUCACAUAUUCAGCCAAUACUGAGGCAUUUUCGGGGUGUUAUACAUGUGUGCAAGGGGCUUAAAAACUGCUAAAUCUUCAAUAUGGGACGAACCCCCGAGGUCCUAUCUCACUUUGAACAAUCAAAUUACCACAUCAACCCAAGUUUCCUUGAAAUACAUCUCAAAAAGUGGGAUCAUCUUGUAUUAAGGGUUUUAAUUGUCAAUUAUCAUUACAACAGACGGUGCCACUUAUCCCCUCAUGAGUAGAGCCGGCUCUCACUCACUGCUACGAUGCCAGAGGGAUGAAAGAUGGUGAACAAAGGUGAUCUAAAAGAAGGAAAAGUUCACCAAAAACUGAGACGGAGUUGUUUUUUUCUUUUUUAGGAACAUGGAUAUCAGAGCUGCAGAGACAUAAACAACCAUCAAAAGGCCAAGAAGCAUGAUGUCACAGGGUGUAAUGUUCGAAGACGGUGAACCAUGAA